GUCUGUCCGCAUUCAAUUUCUUCAAGCUCCGAAAGAAACCAGCCAUCUCCUACGCUAAUCAUGGCCGUCUCCCUGCACUGCAUCAAUCAGCCCGGCGAAGAGAGCGUCACCGAGGGUCCCAGGCCCGCCGCCGCCGGACGCCGUUCUAUACUUCUUCCAUCACCGUGUCCCUUCUGCCUUAGCCACCAGCCGUUCGGAAACUAAAUCAACGGCUCAGAUUGCUUGGGCCCGUUUGCCAGGUGAAUGGUUGGUUAGUGCUCGGCCGGUUAUGCGGCCCAGCCCAGGCCCAAACCCAAAGAGAUCACCGGCGAAGAGAGCGCCGCGGCAGCGGCGGGGUGGCGGCGGCGCGGCCAUGAGGAUGAGCUCGCUACCCCGAAGAGGCCUGUUUGGAACUUCGGAUAAACCCAUUCCCUCCUGAUCUGUGUGGAUUGGAGUGAAAAUAAGGUCUGUGCACGCUUGUGUUUGUGGUAUGCGAUAGGAAAAAUAAAUGUAAUACCUUCUCGCCAAGAGCAUCCUGAACCACGAGGGUAUCACUGGACAUCCUGGAAACUGCUUGGCCUGUUGUCAACUCUGUAUCGAAGAAUGCAAUAUCUUGUCUCAGGACUGCAUUAAGGUAUAAAGAACGGAUGCGGGCUGACUGCCUUUCUCCGGCCAUCGUCCAGCAAGACACCUCUGGGACAAGUGAAAAGUGAGCCUUGUAUUAGCAUUUGAACCGUACCGUACGAGUAGAACUAAAUUCUCUAACAAAGAAAUGGCUAUGUGAAUGAUUCGUAGCUACUUCCUUUGAGAAUACUAAAUGGUUAUAUGUAUUGGGUGGUUUUGGUUUGGUUUGUACAGUACUAACAAUUUUUCCCUGUAUAA
Long non-coding RNA from Setaria italica (foxtail millet), 861 nucleotides. RefSeq lists it as uncharacterized. The transcript is spliced from 3 exons. NCBI's taxonomy places the organism in Eukaryota, Viridiplantae, Streptophyta, Magnoliopsida, Poales, Poaceae. The record is from RefSeq and is a predicted model, not a curated record.